This 29-nucleotide non-coding RNA is filed under the name Mus musculus (house mouse). The record is from RNAcentral. Lineage: Eukaryota; Metazoa; Chordata; Mammalia; Rodentia; Muridae.
UGGAACCCUUGCCACCGAGAUUCGAGUGA